GACGAACGCUGGCGGCGUGCCUAAUACAUGCAAGUUGAGCGCUGAAGGUUGGUACUUGUACCAACUGGAUGAGCAGCGAACGGGUGAGUAACGCGUGGGGAAUCUGCCUUUGAGCGGGGGACAACAUUUGGAAACGAAUGCUAAUACCGCAUAAAAACUUUAAACACAAGUUUUAAGUUUGAAAGAUGCAAUUGCAUCACUCAAAGAUGAUCCCGCGUUGUAUUAGCUAGUUGGUGAGGUAAAGGCUCACCAAGGCGAUGAUACAUAGCCGACCUGAGAGGGUGAUCGGCCACAAUGGGACUGAGACACGGCCCAAACUCCUACGGGAGGCAGCAGUAGGGAAUCUUCGGCAAUGGACGAAAGUCUGACCGAGCAACGCCGCGUGAGGGAAGAAGGGUUUCGGAUCGUAAAACUCUGUUGGUAGAGAAGAACGUUGGUGAGGGUGGAAAGCUCAUCAAGUGACGGUAACUACACAGAAAGGGACGGCUAACUACGUG
This 497-nucleotide ribosomal RNA is filed under the name uncultured bacterium. RNAcentral's name for it is "partial 16S ribosomal RNA". It matches the Rfam family "Bacterial small subunit ribosomal RNA", at positions 28 to 507 of the family's 1533-position model. The record is from RNAcentral.